Otolemur garnettii (small-eared galago) is the source of this 107-nucleotide small nuclear RNA. NCBI's taxonomy places the organism in Eukaryota, Metazoa, Chordata, Mammalia, Primates, Galagidae. The record is from Ensembl.
GUGCUCACUUUGGCAGCACAUGUACUAAUAUUGGAAUAAUACCGAGAAGAUUAUCACAACCCCUGCACAAGGAUGACAUGCAAAUUCAUGAAUCAUUCCGUAUUUUU